RNAcentral lists this non-coding RNA (30 nucleotides) under Homo sapiens (human). Lineage: Eukaryota; Metazoa; Chordata; Mammalia; Primates; Hominidae. The record is from RNAcentral.
UGCAUAGUGAAACCAGGUGAGCUUAAUUCA